CUCUAGUUAUCCAUGGAGCGAUCUGCGUCUUCUCUAGCCGAAUCAGACAGUGAUGCCAUCGGGAGGUGAUCUAGAGAGAUUGGUCCUCCUCUUCUUGCGGCUGAGUGGGGAAUUCGGUUGAAGAGGUUGAGACCAGUGAGUGGUGCUUGGGCUGUAGGGCAGAGACUUCAGGUGUUGAUGCUUGAUCAGUAGUCUUCCUGCUUGAUUCCACUGUGAUCCAAUUGAUUUCCAGUGAGGUUGAGUGUCCUGUGGAUCUGGAAUUGUGGUUCCGGCAGCACCUCAACCAGUAGCUCCUUUGGUUUCAACAAUCAACAGCGGUUGCUAAUUGAGGAUCCUGUCUGGUCCAGCAGAUCACUUUGUUUUCCAACAGCUCAAUUGAGUGAGGUUCUGUUGCUGUGAUGCUGGAGUUGUGAUCUUUGAGGUGUAUCCAGCAGCUUUCCCUAACCGGCAGCAACACCUUUGAUUGUGAUCUACUGGUGAUCACCUUAGAU
Zingiber officinale is the source of this 491-nucleotide long non-coding RNA. RefSeq lists it as uncharacterized. The transcript has 3 exons. The record is from RefSeq and is a predicted model, not a curated record. Lineage: Eukaryota; Viridiplantae; Streptophyta; Magnoliopsida; Zingiberales; Zingiberaceae.